This 351-nucleotide transfer-messenger RNA is filed under the name Acidobacteriota. Its description in RNAcentral is "Polarisedimenticola svalbardensis Standard tmRNA". It matches the Rfam family "transfer-messenger RNA". From Rfam's summary of the family: Bacterial tmRNA, also known as 10Sa RNA or SsrA, is named for its dual tRNA and mRNA-like properties. Its role is to liberate the mRNA from a stalled ribosome. To accomplish this part of the tmRNA is used as a reading frame that ends in a translation stop signal. The record is from RNAcentral. RNAcentral also lists the same sequence under 2 other names. Lineage: Bacteria; Pseudomonadati.
GGGGGCGAACUGGAUUCGACGGGAAAGCAGAGGCUGUAGUAGCACGUCGAGGUGACACCCUCGUUAAACAGGUCAAACACUAGUAGCUGGCACAACCAACUACGCCCUCGCAGCUUAAUAAGCCUGCGACGUUUCCCAGGUAGCCCGCCCGAGGCGACCUGAAGAAACGCCAUUAAUUCGGGAUAGCCGGUCGCCCGCGCCUGGAAGCGACCGGUGAAAUUUACAGGCUGGCCACAAGCUCUCUUGCCGUUCAGCGGGCAUGUGGUGAGAAAAACAAUGAGUCGGCUAAACGUGUAGAAGCUGUAGUACGAACUUUUUCGGACGCGGGUUCGAUUCCCGCCGCCUCCACCA